AUGCCACGGUGAAUACGUUCCCGGGUCUUGUACACACCGCCCGUCACACCACGAGAGUUGGCAACACCCGAAGUCGGUGAGGUAACCUUUUUAGGAGCCAACCGCCGAAGGUGGGGCUAAUGAUUGGGGUGAAGUCGUAACAAGGUAGCCGUAUCGGAAGGUGCGGCUGGAUCACCUCCUUUCU
Molecule: ribosomal RNA, 184 nt
Filed under: Pelagirhabdus fermentum
Lineage: Bacteria; Bacillati; Bacillota; Bacilli; Caryophanales; Bacillaceae
Description: partial 16S ribosomal RNA
Rfam family: Bacterial small subunit ribosomal RNA
Source: RNAcentral